CAGUAGCCACGGUAAUACGAAGGGUGCAAGCGUUACUCGGAAUUACUGGGCGUAAAGCGUGCGUAGGUGGUGGUUUAAGUCCGUUGUGAAAGCCCUGGGCUCAACCUGGGAAUUGCAGUGGAUACUGGGUCACUAGAGUGUGGUAGAGGAUAGUGGAAUUUCCGGUGUAGCAGUGAAAUGCGUAGAUAUUCGCAGGAACACCAGUGGCGAAGGUGGCUAACUGGUCCAUAACUGACGCUGAGGUGCGAAAGCGUGGGGAGCAAACAGGAUUAGAUACCCCUGUAGUCCCUGUCUCUUAUAC
This 301-nucleotide ribosomal RNA is filed under the name uncultured bacterium. Its description in RNAcentral is "partial 16S ribosomal RNA". It matches the Rfam family "Bacterial small subunit ribosomal RNA", at positions 509 to 807 of the family's 1533-position model. The record is from RNAcentral.